RNAcentral lists this ribosomal RNA (1110 nucleotides) under Lactiplantibacillus plantarum. Its description in RNAcentral is "bacterial SSU rRNA". It matches the Rfam family "Bacterial small subunit ribosomal RNA", at positions 51 to 1120 of the family's 1533-position model. The record is from RNAcentral. Lineage: Bacteria; Bacillati; Bacillota; Bacilli; Lactobacillales; Lactobacillaceae.
AUACCAUGGCAAGGUCGAACGGAACUCUGGUAUUGAUUGGUGCUUGCAUCAUGAUUUACAUUUGAGUGAGUGGCGAACUGGUGAGUAACACGUGGGAAACCUGCCCAGAAGCGGGGGAUAACACCUGGAAACAGAUGCUAAUACCGCAUAACAACUUGGACCGCAUGGUCCGAGUUUGAAAGAUGGCUUCGGCUAUCACUUUUGGAUGGUCCCGCGGCGUAUUAGCUAGAUGGUGGGGUAACGGCUCACCAUGGCAAUGAUACGUAGCCGACCUGAGAGGGUAAUCGGCCACAUUGGGACUGAGACACGGCCCAAACUCCUACGGGAGGCAGCAGUAGGGAAUCUUCCACAAUGGACGAAAGUCUGAUGGAGCAACGCCGCGUGAGUGAAGAAGGGUUUCGGCUCGUAAAACUCUGUUGUUAAAGAAGAACAUAUCUGAGAGUAACUGUUCAGGUAUUGACGGUAUUUAACCAGAAAGCCACGGCUAACUACGUGCCAGCAGCCGCGGUAAUACGUAGGUGGCAAGCGUUGUCCGGAUUUAUUGGGCGUAAAGCGAGCGCAGGCGGUUUUUUAAGUCUGAUGUGAAAGCCUUCGGCUCAACCGAAGAAGUGCAUCGGAAACUGGGAAACUUGAGUGCAGAAGAGGACAGUGGAACUCCAUGUGUAGCGGUGAAAUGCGUAGAUAUAUGGAAGAACACCAGUGGCGAAGGCGGCUGUCUGGUCUGUAACUGACGCUGAGGCUCGAAAGUAUGGGUAGCAAACAGGAUUAGAUACCCUGGUAGUCCAUACCGUAAACGAUGAAUGCUAAGUGUUGGAGGGUUUCCGCCCUUCAGUGCUGCAGCUAACGCAUUAAGCAUUCCGCCUGGGGAGUACGGCCGCAAGGCUGAAACUCAAAGGAAUUGACGGGGGCCCGCACAAGCGGUGGAGCAUGUGGUUUAAUUCGAAGCUACGCGAAGAACCUUACCAGGUCUUGACAUACUAUGCAAAUCUAAGAGAUUAGACGUUCCCUUCGGGGACAUGGAUACAGGUGGUGCAUGGGUGUCGUCAGCUCGUGUCGUGAGAUGUUGGGGUAAGUCCCGCAACGAGGCGCAACCCUUAUUAUCAGUUGGCA